AAAGUUUCAACAUAUACAAAAGAAGGGAAAUAACUAAUUAAUCAUAUCUUGCAUGCUGUUUCAUCCUUGUGAAGGCAGUAUGGCUUAAUGGUCAAGAUUGCACAAUCUGAAACUAAACUGCUCGGCUCACCUCAGUUGAGCAUUUUAUUGCCCUGGAAAAGAUUGUGGUUUUGUUGCAAGGAAGAAGAGAAGAAUGACAUUUUUGUGGGUAAGAGGCCAUUUAUUUUAUAUUCAAUGAUUAUCUCAAAAUAAUCUUUCUUAGAAGUUGACAAGCUGGAGUUAAAACUCUUAUAGACAAGAAAAUUGCCAAAGAAAAAAUGUUUAAUAAAAAAAGGGUAACACAUAUGUGUAUUUAGUGUCUGGCUAUUAAAGUAUUAGCAAGCAAUAGUAAUUAAAUGAGAAAUGCUUCAGUUAUAAACAUUUAUUAAUAUGACACAAUAUGGUCCAGAAAAAUUAUAAUUCUAAUGUGAACUAGAAGCCUUGACACUCCUUUUGGCUUGACUAAGAUAUUUUCCCGACUCUAAGCCCCUGUCCCUCCAUUUUUUGAGCGCUGGUUUUAGAAAACCUGUAAUGAUUUUUCAGCUACAUUGAGAUGUAAAUUGUCUCCAAAACUCUUGCCAUUUUUACAACCCAGGAAUGCCUUGGACCUUGGAAUUAUCCCUCUAAAAUGUAAUCUUUAAGAACAGUAGAGCCUGUAUCUUCCUCCGUCUGUGGGAAGAUAAGGACCUAACUUCAGUAAAUGUCAAUUAACAAGCACAUUGGCCUAAUUUCACUGGCCAACCCUCAUUUUAAUGUCCUCCAGUUAUUUUCUCACUAAGGCACUUCGGUGCUUAAAAACUCUCCUGCAUUUUUUUUUCCAGAAGAAUUGGGUUCUGUCUCCCAAUUAGGAUAGACUUGACUGCAACUGAAAUAGCCUUGAAGUCUUCCUUGCCUGCUUAACUCUCUCCUGCAAUUUCUCUUUGACAAAUGAAACUGUAUGUGAUGGCAGUGAUAUUACAAAGCUAUAAAAUUGUAUGAUUCUUUAUUCAUAAAAUUGCAUGAGAAGAUUGGGUAUCCAAUUGGAGAAAAUAUUUCUGUUUCACACUAAUUGCAAAAAUAAAAUCCAAGUAAGUUAAAAAUAUAAAUGCUAAAUAAAUUCAUGAAAUUAUAAAAAUGUAGGCUAAUGCAGUUAUUAUUUUAUUCAUAAAAAUAUAUUUUGUGUGCUUAAUUUGUUUAGGAGGUUAGUAUAAGCACUAGAAACUUAUAAGACAUAUUAUCCUUGCUGUCAUUAAAAAUAUGAAUCUAAAGAAAACUACCAAACCAAAUAUUUAAUACUUCUGUACUUAAAAAGAUGUUAUACAAAUAGAAUAAAUAUUACUGACAACCUAAAAGAAAAUAUAUCAUACACACAUGCUCACACACACACACACAUACACACCUAUGUAAGAAGGCAUUGCCUAUCAUGGUGGAUCAUGCUUGUAAACUCAACCAUUUGGAGGGUUGAGGCAGGAGGAUCACUUGAUGCCCAGAGUUUGAGAACACCCUGAGCAACAUAGCAAGGCCCCAUCUCUGCAAAAGAUAAAAAAGUGAGAUGGGAGUGGGGGUGUGCACCUGUAGUCCCAGUUACUCUGGAUGCUAAGCCAGGAGGAUCACUUGGGCCCAGGAGUUCAAAGACACUCAUCUC
Molecule: long non-coding RNA, 1663 nt
Organism: Pan troglodytes (chimpanzee)
Lineage: Eukaryota; Metazoa; Chordata; Mammalia; Primates; Hominidae
Exons: 3
Source: RefSeq, a predicted model, not a curated record